GGGAAGGCAUAUUCCAGGAUCACUUGUUUCCUUUGCCUAGAAACACACUUUAAAGGAGUGGAUGAUACCCCAGACUCUGAUACCUCAGAUUCUGAAAUUGUGAUCACACCCAGGAGCACAGCUCAAUUCAAUCAGGCUGACACUGUGGUGUUUGAACCACAAAACCAAAGUACACCCAAACGCAAACCUGAAGAUG
Molecule: long non-coding RNA, 196 nt
Organism: Larimichthys crocea (large yellow croaker)
Lineage: Eukaryota; Metazoa; Chordata; Actinopteri; Sciaenidae
Exons: 3
Source: RefSeq, a predicted model, not a curated record